Molecule: long non-coding RNA, 997 nt
Organism: Eucalyptus grandis
Lineage: Eukaryota; Viridiplantae; Streptophyta; Magnoliopsida; Myrtales; Myrtaceae
Exons: 2
Source: RefSeq, a predicted model, not a curated record
GCCUGGUGGGGACGAAGCCCAGUUCGAAGCAAGAGUGCCAUUACAAUGGGCUUUGGCAGCCCAAUCAGCCACAAAGUUUGCCUCUCUGCUACAGUGACGCACAGCUAGGUUAUGGAAAUUAGAGAGCUUCAUUGCCGCUUCAGCAAUGAGGGAACACACCUCCCAUGGAGUCUCGAUCGGUCGUGAAGAGCAUUCACCAACACCAUACAGUCCGAUUCAAUGAGAAAAUGAUCCUCAUACUUCCCUUCUCGUGACAGAUGAUCAAGGGUAAGGAUGAGAGCUUGGAUCUCGGUCUGCAGAGCUGAUUUCGCUGGAAAAUCACAGGAUCUGGUGGUCGCCAUAGUGAAUGAGGAUGUAGAGAACAGAGGGAUGUUCGCUACAGAGAUGAGCGGGUUGAUUACUGUGGCAACGGAUCAAAGAGAUUGUAAGCGUGAACCUAGGCAGAAGCCAUGUGAAUAACCUGAAGAUGAUCAAGAUGCUGUUGCUGAAAUACAAAGCGGUUGCGUGCCUUCCAAAUUUGCCACAACAGAGCUGCAAUCAUUUGCAGAUCAGGACAGGUACGCCGUUCUUCUAGCUGAGCGACUAACCACACAUCUAUCCGUGUAAUUGAUUGCUGAGUGAUGGGAAUGUUAAUCUGUGGAUGAGACCAUAGAUGUUGUGCCCAUGGACAUAGUAGGAAGAGGUGUUCUGUAGUUUCUGGGAUAAAGUUUGAACAGAUGGGGCAAUAGGAAUCUGUAGUGAUGCAUCGCUGGAAUAAAUUGGCUUUCGUAGCUAAAGCGUUAUGGCAGACCGACCAGAGGAAAGGUCGGAUUUUAGGGGGAAGCUUCACAGCCCAAAUAGCUUUCCACAGUGAUUUGGGUGGGUGAUAGGACGAAGAUGCUAUAUUUUGUUGAGUAGUAGGAGUUGCAUUCCUAAGGGUAUGAUAUCCUUUUUUUCACCGAAUAUGUACCAUUUGUAGUACCUGUCCAGAUAAUUCUAUCAAAAGUAUAUUGAGGAC